AAUGGCUGUCUUUUUUUGAUACACUUUGUUGUUCUGAGACGUUAAUUUUGAUGAAAAAUAUCUAAUGGGUCUAGUCUUUCUUGGAACUAAGUGAGUAUCUCACGAAUUAAAUGACAUGAAUGCUCAGUUAUAUUUCAACAUGAGCAAGAUCAAAGCUUAGAUAACAGUCUUCACAGUCUAUGCAAACAAUCUCUACCUCAUUGUCACUUAAUUCCUUCAUGACAUCCAAUACCUUAGCCCAUCAAAUUCUGAAUUCUUUAGUUUGUAUGUAGUGCCUUCUAAAACAAUUUUUUUUUCUAUUGAUAACGAAUCAAACAUUUUUAGUCCAUCCAUUACAAACCCUAGUUCCUUAUAAUUAUUUAAAAAUUUAUUAAAGAAAUUCCAACAACAUAAAAGAAUGACAAGCGAUGAGUGGAAAGAACAAAUCUAAUAAUAUCACCAUGCCAUCCCAGUAAAAAA
RNAcentral lists this unclassified non-coding RNA (459 nucleotides) under Hevea brasiliensis (rubber tree). The record is from RNAcentral. Lineage: Eukaryota; Viridiplantae; Streptophyta; Magnoliopsida; Malpighiales; Euphorbiaceae.